Molecule: ribosomal RNA, 116 nt
Filed under: Salmonella enterica subsp. enterica serovar Infantis
Lineage: Bacteria; Pseudomonadati; Pseudomonadota; Gammaproteobacteria; Enterobacterales; Enterobacteriaceae
Also listed under: 2 other names
Source: RNAcentral
CCUGGCGGCACUAGCGCGGUGGUCCCACCUGACCCCAUGCCGAACUCAGAAGUGAAACGCCGUAGCGCCGAUGGUAGUGUGGGGUCUCCCCAUGCGAGAGUAGGGAACUGGCAGGC